UCUCUUCUCUCUUCCUCACUCCGUGCUCCCUGCAUCAUUCCUCUAUAGAAACCGAUACAUAUAUACGCACCAUCUCCUCUCUCUUUCUCUCUCCCUCCCAUAUAUAUAUAUAUAUAUAUAUAUAUAUAUAUAUAUAUAACUUAUAUGCAUACGUGGUUGUCACUUUGUCGUCCUUUUCGAACAAUUCACAGAUCGGUGCUUUCGCAGAUCCGGUUAAUUUCCCUCUUCUCUCCGUGGAUUUAAGGUUGUAGUUUGGAUGACAUUAGAUCUAUAUAUUAACAAUGACUUCAAGUAUGUUAACUGGGGAGUGAAGCAUAGCGCCAUAGCGGGCUUUCAAGUCUCAUCUCACUCCACAGCCACAUGUACGUGUUUCUCGUCUUUCAUUUGAUUUGUAUCUGCUAUGCGUGUAUCUCUACGUAUAUAUACUGGAAUCGACACCUUUGGAUGGUGCACGAGCUCACUUGAAUCUGUUUGGCCAUCUAGUUUGCGGGUGGUGAGUGGAUAUUGCUUUCUGCAAUGCCGGUAAGGUGUUUGAUGAAUUGUUUGUGAGAUUUUCAGUUGUAUAGGUGCGAGUGGAUGUCUGCUUCUUUGCCUAAUUUCAACAAG
This is a long non-coding RNA of Ipomoea nil (Japanese morning glory), 606 nucleotides long. RefSeq lists it as uncharacterized. The record is from RefSeq and is a predicted model, not a curated record. The transcript is spliced from 3 exons. Lineage: Eukaryota; Viridiplantae; Streptophyta; Magnoliopsida; Solanales; Convolvulaceae.